This is a long non-coding RNA of Mytilus californianus (California mussel), 444 nucleotides long. RefSeq lists it as uncharacterized. Lineage: Eukaryota; Metazoa; Mollusca; Bivalvia; Mytilida; Mytilidae. The record is from RefSeq and is a predicted model, not a curated record. The transcript is spliced from 3 exons.
AUUUGUUUACAGGUAUUUUAACUCGGUCAUGUUGAAUUAUAGAAGUAUUUGUUGAUCCCGGAUACGAAGACAAUGGACGAAAGCGAUAAUGAUUCUGAAAUAUCCAUAAGUAAGAAGCGCAGAAUUAGUCCACCCGAUACAGGUCAAAAUGGCAAGGAUUGUAAAAAAGCAUGCAACGAAACUGGACCGCAUUGUUCUACCUCAAUGGAAGAGUCAACUUUUAAAUCCCCGAAAGUUACUGAAGGUAAUUAAUGUGUUACGUCUCUGUUUUUGUCAAUACUUCUACUGUUUAAGGUGUACCAAGUAGAAAAGUAAUAAUUUAUGUGAAGCAGUAUUGGCUACAAUUUUGACAGUAUGAGGUGCAAAAUUACCUUUAAACAUCUACAAGAACGGAAAAUUGAAUGAUGCAUCCUUAUGUUCAGCCAGAUUAGUUCAUUUUCACUG